RNAcentral lists this ribosomal RNA (468 nucleotides) under uncultured bacterium. RNAcentral's name for it is "partial 16S ribosomal RNA". It matches the Rfam family "Bacterial small subunit ribosomal RNA", at positions 28 to 507 of the family's 1533-position model. The record is from RNAcentral.
GACGAACGCUGGCGGCGUGCUUAACACAUGCAAGUCGAACGGAAAGUCCCUGCUUUUGUGGCUUGCUCGAGUUGCGAACGGAUGGGUAACUCGUGAGUAACCUGCCUUUGACUUUGGGAUAACUUCAGGAAACUAACGCUAAUACCGGCCAGGAACUCGUGCUUCAUGGUGGGGGGUGGUAAGUUUCGGCGGUAUGGGAUCGACUCGCGGUUUAUUUGCUUGGUGGUGGGGUAGUGGCUUACCAAGGCUUUGACGGGUAGCCGACCUGAGAGCGUGACCGGGCACAUUGGGACUGAGAUACGGACCAGAAUCCAACGGGAGGCAGCAGUGGGGAGUAUUACACAAUGGGGGGAAGCCUGAUGCAGCAAAGCCGCGUGCGGGAUGACGGCCUGCGAGUGGUAAACCGCUUUCGACUGUGACGAAGCGUGAGUGACGGUAAUGGGUAAAGAAGCAACGGCUAACUACGUG